RNAcentral lists this ribosomal RNA (407 nucleotides) under Anaerolineales bacterium. RNAcentral's name for it is "partial 23S ribosomal RNA". It matches the Rfam family "Bacterial large subunit ribosomal RNA", at positions 2519 to 2925 of the family's 2925-position model. The record is from RNAcentral. Lineage: Bacteria; Bacillati; Chloroflexota; Anaerolineae; Anaerolineales.
CGACACCUCGAUGUCGGCUCGUCGCAUCCUGGGGCUGUACAAGGUCCCAAGGGUUGGGCUGUUCGCCCAUUAAAGCGGCACGCGAGCUGGGUUCAGACCGUCGUGAGACAGGUCGGUCUCUAUCCGCUGUGGGCGUAGGGGACUUGAGAGGAGCUGCUCUUAGUACGAGAGGACCAGAGUGGACAGACCUCUAGUGUGCCAGUUGUCCCGCCAGGGGCAUCGCUGGAUAGCUACGUCUGGCAGAGAUAACCGCUGAAAGCAUCUAAGCGGGAAACUCGCCUCAAGAUGAGGUCCCCCACCGGUUAACCGGGUAAGACCGCCGGAAGACUACCGGUUUGAUAGGCGGGAGGUGUAUGCGCAGCAAUGCGUUUAGCUAACCCGUACUAAUGGUCGAGGGCUUAACCGUG